UGACGAGUUUGAUCCUGGCUCAGAUUGAACGCUGGCGGAAUGCUUUACACAUGCAAGUCGAACGGUAGAGGGGCAACCCUUGAGAGUGGCGAACGGGUGAGUAAUACAUCGGAACGUGCCCAGUCGUGGGGGAUAACGUAGCGAAAGCUACGCUAAUGCCGCAUACGACCCGAGGGUGAAAGCGGGGGACUCGCAAGAGCCUCGCGCGAUUGGAGCGGCCGAUAUCAGAUUAGGUAGUUGGUGAGGUAAAGGCUCACCAAGCCAACGAUCUGUAGCUGGUCUGAGAGGACGACCAG
Molecule: ribosomal RNA, 296 nt
Filed under: uncultured Burkholderiales bacterium
Lineage: Bacteria; Pseudomonadati; Pseudomonadota; Betaproteobacteria; Burkholderiales
Description: partial 16S ribosomal RNA
Rfam family: Bacterial small subunit ribosomal RNA
Source: RNAcentral